RNAcentral lists this long non-coding RNA (350 nucleotides) under Chrysolophus pictus (golden pheasant). Its description in RNAcentral is "lncRNA (ENSCPIG00010003411.1)". The record is from RNAcentral. Lineage: Eukaryota; Metazoa; Chordata; Aves; Galliformes; Phasianidae.
UCUACUUCUGCUUCCAGAUAACUGCUGAAAAUUUUAAACAAACCAGAGCUCUGGCAGGACCCUGCUAGACGCUUCGUCCAAACAUAUCAUCUUACAACUCAGAUAAAAGGAUCUGCUGGAUUUUCUUUUGGCUGAGAUAAGACAUUUGUAUUCAUUGAAACCAAUGUUAAUUGGCCUGGAAACAUCACAUUGCUGUGACUCAGCAGAGGACCUUUUUCUGGAGAGGCACUCCACCUGAGGUCAGCCUGGAUCCAUCCACACACCAUCUACACAGGCAGGCAGCACCCUUAAGAGUAGAUUGGGUUGAAGUUGGCAAGACCUAAGUGGCUUGAAGCAGAGACAGAUACGAU